AGCAACGGAUCUCUUGGCUCUCGCAUCGAUGAAGAACGCAGCGAAAUGCGAUAAGUAAUGUGAAUUGCAGAAUUCAGUGAAUCAUCGAAUCUUUGAACGCACCUUGCGCUCCUUGGUAUUCCGAGGAGCAUGCCUGUUUGAGUGUCAUU
RNAcentral lists this ribosomal RNA (149 nucleotides) under Hebeloma theobrominum. RNAcentral describes it as "5.8S ribosomal RNA". It matches the Rfam family "5.8S ribosomal RNA". Rfam says of the family: 5.8S ribosomal RNA (5.8S rRNA) is a component of the large subunit of the eukaryotic ribosome. It is transcribed by RNA polymerase I as part of the 45S precursor that also contains 18S and 28S rRNA. The record is from RNAcentral. Lineage: Eukaryota; Fungi; Basidiomycota; Agaricomycetes; Agaricales; Hymenogastraceae.